Molecule: ribosomal RNA, 497 nt
Filed under: uncultured bacterium
Lineage: Bacteria
Description: partial 16S ribosomal RNA
Rfam family: Bacterial small subunit ribosomal RNA
Source: RNAcentral
GAUGAACGCUGGCGGCGUGCCUAAUACAUGCAAGUCGAGCGAACAGACGAGGAGCUUGCUCCUCUGACGUUAGCGGCGGACGGGUGAGUAACACGUGGAUAACCUACCUAUAAGACUGGGAUAACUUCGGGAAACCGGAGCUAAUACCGGAUAAUAUAUUGAACCGCAUGGUUCAAUAGUGAAAGACGGUUUUGCUGUCACUUAAAGAUGGAUCCGCGCCGCAUUAGCUAGUGGGUAAGGUAACGGCUUACCAAGGCAACGAUGCGUAGCCGACCUGAGAGGGUGAUCGGCCACACUGGAACUGAGACACGGUCCAGACUCCUACGGGAGGCAGCAGUAGGGAAUCUUCCGCAAUGGGCGAAAGCCUGACGGAGCAACGCCGCGUGAGUGAUGAAGGUCUUCGGAUCGUAAAACUCUGUUAUUAGGGAAGAACAAAUGUGUAAGUAACUAUGCACGUCUUGACGGUACCUAAUCAGAAAGCCACGGCUAACUACGUG